CAGUAGCCACGGGAAUACGUAGGUGGCAAGCGUUGUCCGGAAUUAUUGGGCGUAAAGGGCUCGCAGGCGGUUUCUUAAGUCUGAUGUGAAAGCCCCCGGCUCUACCGGGGAGGGUCAUUGGAAACUGGGAAACUUGAGUGCAGAAGAGGAGAGUGGAAUUCCACGUGUAGCGGUGAAAUGCGUAGAGGUGUGGAGGAACACCAGUGGCGAAGGCGACUCUCUGGUCUGUAACUGACGCUGAGGAGCGAAAGCGUGUGGAGCGAACAGGAUUAGAUACCCCUGUAGUCCCUGUCUCUUAUAC
This 301-nucleotide ribosomal RNA is filed under the name uncultured bacterium. RNAcentral describes it as "partial 16S ribosomal RNA". It matches the Rfam family "Bacterial small subunit ribosomal RNA", at positions 509 to 807 of the family's 1533-position model. The record is from RNAcentral.